This 497-nucleotide ribosomal RNA is filed under the name uncultured bacterium. RNAcentral's name for it is "partial 16S ribosomal RNA". It matches the Rfam family "Bacterial small subunit ribosomal RNA", at positions 28 to 507 of the family's 1533-position model. The record is from RNAcentral.
GAUGAACGCUGGCGGCGUGCCUAAUACAUGCAAGUCGAGCGAACGGACGAGAAGCUUGCUUCUCUGAUGUUAGCGGCGGACGGGUGAGUAACACGUGGAUAACCUACCUAUAAGACUGGGAUAACUUCGGGAAACCGUAGCUAAUACCGGAUAAUAUUUUGAACCGCAUGGUUCAAAAGUGAAAGACGGUCUUGCUGUCACUUAUAGAUGGAUCCACGCUGCAUUAGCUAGUUGGUAAGGUAACGGCUUACCAAGGCAACGAUGCAUAGCCGACCUGAGAGGGUGAUCGGCCACACUGGAACUGAGACACGGUCCAGACUCCUACGGGAGGCAGCAGUAGGGAAUCUUCCGCAAUGGGCGAAAGCCUGACGGAGCAACGCCGCGUGAGUGAUGAAGGUCUUCGGAUCGUAAAACUCUGUUAUUAGGGAAGAACAGAUGUGUAAGUAACUGUGCACAUCUUGACGGUACCUAAUCAGAAAGCCACGGCUAACUACGUG